UACGUAGGGGGGCUAGCGUUGUCCGGAAUCAUUGGGCGUAAAGAGCUCGUAGGCGGUUUGUUGCGUCGGCUGUGAAAACCCGGGGGCUCAACUCCGGGCCUGCAGCCGAUACGGGCAGACUAGAGUUCGGCAGGGGAGACUGGAAUUCCUGGUGUAGCGGUGAAAUGCGCAGAUAUCAGGAGGAACACCGGUGGCGAAGGCGGGUCUCUGGGCCGAUACUGACGCUGAGGAGCGAAAGCGUGGGGAGCGAACAGG
RNAcentral lists this ribosomal RNA (255 nucleotides) under uncultured bacterium. Its description in RNAcentral is "partial 16S ribosomal RNA". It matches the Rfam family "Bacterial small subunit ribosomal RNA", at positions 524 to 776 of the family's 1533-position model. The record is from RNAcentral.